Long non-coding RNA from Corythoichthys intestinalis (scribbled pipefish), 852 nucleotides. RefSeq lists it as uncharacterized. The record is from RefSeq and is a predicted model, not a curated record. The transcript is spliced from 3 exons. NCBI's taxonomy places the organism in Eukaryota, Metazoa, Chordata, Actinopteri, Syngnathiformes, Syngnathidae.
UGUCGCCCUCUGCUGGCGAUUCAGUGCAGCGGAUUAUUUGGGUUUCGGCGCGCUUUUCUGACGUGAUUAUAUGUCGACGUGAACUCACACUAAUAGACAGUGCUAUUCAGACCAGCUAACGUCCGCAUCCAGUAUUCAGUGGCAGUUCUCAUAGCCCCAUCACACUGUUUGUGUCUAAUACAUGCAUCGCUUCGCUGCAAUGCAUGCUAAGAGGCAUGUUGGACAACAACAGUGUUGACAGCAGGAGGCAACAGAGGUUGACUGUCUCCCCCAAGGAAGCAGUGAUGGCCAAAUGAAGCAAUGAAGCUUUGCAGUCAGUUGGUUCAAAUCUGUUUGGUCUUUAUGUUCCGUCCCCAACAAAAAGUCUAUACGCAAGUUAUGCUGUUAGAUCGUCCCUACCAAUGUUGAGACCAAACCUACGCCCUUGACUGAAAGAUAACUUGAACAGCAGCUGAUGGCUACAGGUAGUUGAAGACGGCAUCACUGUGAGAAUCGGCACCAGUGACUGAGAUGAACAUCGGCUGAUGGCCCAGACGACUCAGACAAUCUUCAAACAAAAAAUGCACACCCCAAAAAUGUACUCAAUUAUGUAUGAAACCACGACCAAGUAAAGCUCACAUAAACCUACCAGCGAUGUUUCGUCCUACGCCUCCAUAUGACUGACUAACACUUCCUGGGUUUGUCUGUCCAAACUCAGAAUGACAGCAAAAGUUUAAAAAUGACCAUGCAUUAUCAAUGCCAGCAACAUAUAGUGACAGGCAGAAACAUUCUAAUGUAAUACAAAGUCUUACUGACAAAGGCAUCUACUUUUUGUGACAUUUUUUAGCUUGAUUUUCCUAUUGAAAAAUAUGU